Hemibagrus wyckioides is the source of this 4180-nucleotide long non-coding RNA. RefSeq lists it as uncharacterized. The transcript has 2 exons. The record is from RefSeq and is a predicted model, not a curated record. NCBI's taxonomy places the organism in Eukaryota, Metazoa, Chordata, Actinopteri, Siluriformes, Bagridae.
AAUAAGAGACAAGUGAGGCGUACAUGCACUUGUGCUUAAUCCCAAAAUCACGUUUUUAGAGAGAGAGAGAGAGAGAGAGAGGGAGAGAGAGAGAGAGAGAGAGAGAGCAGUUCGUGUUUAAGGACUUUUGCGCAUCUACCCGGGGCGUUUGACAUUUACGGACAGCAUCUCCACUCAGUUUCUGCUGCUGCUGAAAAUCAAAUGGCCACCCACCCCCACUCUCUUCUCUUCCUCAAAGCCAUCCGUGCGCACGGCCGGGAGUCCGGUGCUACGCCCCUUGUUACAACCUUAAUCACACACGACCAUAUGGAACUAACUCUCAAUUCUGGCGCCGAGCUAAAACCCAACAGAAGGAGCGGGAUUACUUCAACGCGAUAUUUCAGUGACUUCUUGCUGAACGUGAGAAUGAAUGCUAAAUAUAUCAUGAUGACAUUUCUAUUUACUCAGUGGAGGAAGAGGAAAUUCAAUGAAGGCAACAAUGCAAAUUCAAAACGAGAAAGCGUGAUCAUAGGAAGAAUUUUAAUCACUCUUAUACAGUAAUCAGUUUAGUCGGAUAAUUAGAUUGUAAUCAAGCGGAGGCUGCGCAAACGCGUAAGGGCUUUUCUGCGCCAAAAGUGCGCAAGCACAUCGCUCUCGCCUUGGAUCGCCAUAGUUCACCUUCAUCACUUUUUCCCCAUGUAAACUCUUCACUCCUGCCUCCACAGACCACGCUAUUCAGAGAAAUCUGCACAGUUUCAGUAUGUCAAGAUCCAAAACACACGAUAAUAAAAAACAGCUGGGAUCUAAAAAGAAAUAGCGGACUUUUUCUGCAGUACCACAGACAGCGCGUCAGACUAAGCGUUCUCUUCAAGAACCAUGGACAGCGACACGGUGCCGAACAUGAAGCGUUGAAAUACAUCUUCACAUUCAAUACAUUGAAGUACAAGCAGACAAAAAUAGCAGGACAGCAAAAAUUGUGACAGGAAAAGCACAAAAAAGUACAAGUAUUUGUUUGUUUGUUUGUUCGUUUGUUUGUUUAUAUGGUAGUUUAUUUAUUUGCUUGUUUUUACCCAGUGACUCAGCUUUUUCUAACAGCAAGGGGACGUUCAAUCCACCCGUUUAGUACCAGUUCCCCCCUAAAAUAGGUAUUCUUUUCCCAGAUUUGGAAGUUCACCGGUUAUCACUGAUGAGCUGUUUAAAGUGAAGCUGGACUAAAAUGUCCGGCGCCCGAUAAACUGAAGAGUACAAGCAAAUAUUAAAAUAGUACAUAAUGAUAAAAUUGUAUUUUUGACGUUUGAAGUUUCUGAGAUUCUAUUUAAGGCGUUAAAACUUAUUAGCUUCUCUGGAACAAGAAAAUUCCCCAGAAAAUUCCCUUGCGUUGGAUUAACCAUUUAUACCCAUUUCACCACUCCGAUGUCAGUGUGUCUAGUCUUUGAGCCACUUCUGCUACGGAAUAAGUGCCAGUCUCUUCCGUUUUGCCGUCAGAGCCUGGAGUCACAAUGCGCAAUGAAACAAUGGUAAGAAUGUGUCUCUAAGUAUACAUAUUGCAUAAGGCGGCAGCUGAGACAGACAGAAACCCCCUCGAACUCUGGGAAGGCCCUCGGCAGAUGGAACAAGCUGCUAAAGAACAACAGAAAAGUCUGAAUGAAUAGCUCCAGGCUGGUAUUGUCCGCUGCUUGGUCAUUAUACUGCUUGUGACAGAAAAGACAGUCUUUGUCUACACAGCCCUAAAGCUCGGAAGUUUAGAAACGGGUGCAUCGAGUUAGUUCUUGAAUGUUAUGUAUUGUCUAAUAAAAAGCGUAAAAAAACAAACAAACAAACAAAAAACCCCAAUCAAACCUGUAUUUCAAGUCAGUCUGCUUAAAAGACAUCGCGUUCAGCAUAACAUAACUAGGCGCGCUUAAGAAUUCGAUGUGUAAUAAUUUUACAAAAUCUAUUUUCUGACAUGCGUUGGUUUAUAUAGGAAAGGUCGUGUAACAAAUAGCAUAUGAACAAAAAAAAUCCUGAGGUCACCAAGAAGUCGGAGUGUUUCACAGAAACAAAAACAAAACGUACAACCCAGAAAUACAUUUUCUUUGUCCGUACAUUUCUAGUUCUCGACAGUUAAGAAAACUUUUGGAAACCUAACAUUUCAUGCAAAGUGAUUAUAAAAAAAACUCGGGUGAACGGAGAGAAUGCACAUGUGACUGACCUAAGAAAGUUCCACAGAGCUUCAUUGUUGCGGUCCAGUGUUUCCCAACGCGCGACCGGGCAACGCGCCUAGAAACUAAACUUGUGAGAAAAAAAGUUGUGGCCAGCUGAGUAUAACUUCUGUUUUGGAGCAGGGGUGUGGGCUCGGGGGUGACGCAGUUCCCAUUGAGCAUUCAGCUCAACUCCUAGCCAAUUGCAAUCGCCGCUGAACUCACACAAAGAGCUCGUGGCCUACCGCCGGUAGCAGAAAAGCGAUGGCUUUUCUGACGGCUGUGUCUAUAUUCACAAAACACUAUUUAGCGAGCCACCCACAAGAAAGAAACACACACACACACACACACGCACAUAUUUGUUUCUGUAACUAUCUGAAACUUGGUUAGCAUUAACAGAUUUAUUAAUAAGCAUCUUCUGCCUGUGGUUCAAGACAAGUAAACAAUCCAGUCUGAAUUGUGUGACUCUUUCAUUCAUUUCUUCAUUCAGCUUCAGUAACCGCUUCAUCCAGGUCAUUGUCACAGUGAAUGUGAGGCAGUACUACACCCUGAAUGAGAUGCCAUUCCAUUACAGGACACCAUGUAUACACAUCCACAUAAUCUUUCACUCUUAGAGCAAUUUAGGAUAGGCAAUCCAACUUUUGGCAUGUUUUUGGAAGUGAGAUUAGUGCAGAGAAUCCAAGGAAAACUCAUGCUGACACAGGGAAGAUGCAAGACACAGAAAAAAACUGUAGUUCGAGGACAUUAAACAUUGCUAAAAAGCGCAAGCCCUUUUCAGGCAGCCAUGUUUACACCUGUAACACAGAGAGUCCAAAGAUUUGCAUAGUCAAUGAUUUCCUUAAUCAUUCACUCAACCCAAACAAGCAUGCCAUUGCAAUAAAACUGCAGGCAACAUGAACAACAGGGAAGAGCAGAGGAUUCGAUAUGAGUGGUGGAGCAAUGUAACCCGAGGUUUGGGCCUCCCUUGGGCAGAUGGCUCUUUUGAUAACUAUGUCUCUAGGCCCCAUCUCCAUAUUCUGGCUUUGUGUUACCAUGGCAAGUGGAUAUGUAAUGGAGUUUGCCGCUUAUUAAAUUUGCCAUCUUACAAAAGAGAGGCUCUACCCUCAAAAUGAUGAGCAAAACCAGAGCUCGCUUGAGUUUUGUUAUCACAGGUUGCUUGGCUGCGUGUGUUACAUUUUCCCCAUGCACUGCACUCUAAUUAACCUAUUAACUUAUCUACUGUGCACUGUUCUACCCUGUCCUCCCUUCAAGUAGAGUUUUGGAACAAAAUCCAGUUAAGUUUUUCACACACACCCCUUUUCCAAUAACCCCACCCCCCUUCCUUCUUUGAUCUCAUGACAAUAUUGGCACACUACAGGAAGCUCAGCUGAAUCCUGACAUGCCUUCCAGCAGUUUGCAAGACACAGUACAAAAAAGAAGAAAGUUAGUACAAAUUCAGGCCAAAGUGAUGGAACACACCAGAGGAUUCAGUGAUGACUCUGAAAGACCAGGAAACACAGAUGCAAUUUUUUCUUUUAAUUGGAAUUAUAAUAUUAAAACAAACAAACAAACAUUCGCUGUAAGGUAUUGUGACUUGAAAUUAGAGGAGCAUGAAAAAUGAUGCUAGAUGAAAUAUAUGAAUUUCAUAAUUCUUUGAUUAAUGCAGGAUAAGUGAGAGGCUUCAGUAAUGUAAGAGUAAAUUGAUAUCAAUAACCGUAUUGCAGCUGUGGUCUCACAGAUGGAAGUGCUCCCAGUCACGCACUCUGACUUAUGAAGAAAAUUAGGCCUAGGGCAUGAUGCCUGUCCUUGCAUUUUUUGUGGACCUGCUUCCUGCAUUUUCAUUGUCUGUCAUUUUUUCUCAUACAAAACACAGACGCUCAGUGGGGCAUCUUACUUCCUACAAUCAUUUUGUGUCAUCUUGCAUGACUGAACUUGAAGAAACAGCAUCAUAAAUGGUGUAGACUCCUUGCUUUGUGUAAUAUGAAGGUUUUUUAAAAAUCUUUUAACAUUUUAUUUCCUAAUAAACUCUCUCCCUCUCUCUC